GAUGAAGAACGUAGCGAAACGGGAAAGGUAAUGCGAAUUGCAGAAUCAGUGAGUCAUCGAAUCUUUGAACGCACAUUGCGCCUCUCGGUAUUCCGGGAGGCACGCCUGUUCGAGCGCCAUUACACACUCCAAGCUCUGCUUGAUGUUGGAUGCUGCGGCAACCCUUCAAGGGGGGCUGCACGUCUGGAACACGUGGGCGUCCGGCCUGUCGAGAAACCGCGAGCGUAGCAAGACACAACUUUGUCAUUCGCUUCGUCGGACCUCCAGCGGACGGUUUGUGGUAGAGAAUUCUCAAUUCUGUCCACCAUUACGAGUUUGGCCUCGGAUCAGGCGGGGAUACCCGCUGAACUUAAGCAUAUCAAUAAGCGGAGGA
RNAcentral lists this unclassified non-coding RNA (373 nucleotides) under soil metagenome. RNAcentral's name for it is "partial contains 5.8S ribosomal RNA, internal transcribed spacer 2, and large subunit ribosomal RNA". The stretch from base 1 to 119 matches the Rfam family "5.8S ribosomal RNA", at positions 35 to 154 of the family's 154-position model. The record is from RNAcentral.